AACCCAUGAGGGUGAUGUCAUAAAGGGGUUUAACGCAAUAAAGGUGCUACCCCAUAUUUUGGUGUUUGAUUUGAAUUCGAAAACACUAAAAUAUUUUAAUAGCUAAAAAACCCUAAAGGCUAGUUUAUAGGCAAAAGUAUUUAAAAUAUUUUAUCUUGAGGGAAUUCUUGUCCAAAGAGUUGAAUCAUAUGAAGAUAUGAUUUUACAAAUUUGUUGCAUUUUAUUUGACUUGAAUUGAAACUUUAAAUCAAAAGUUGCAUUCAGAAACAGAAAAUAGAAAUAGAAAAAAAAAAGAAAAAGAAAGGGGUAUCGGACCGACCCAAUCAGGCCGGCCCACUUACCCAGGCGCCGCGGCCCAUCUCCACACAGCACGCGCGGCCGCUGCCACCGAUUGUAUAUCUACCUGCCUGUGAUGUGCUCUAGCUAGGCCGAUGCUUUUUUGUAAAACCCAUUCUUCUUUCUUCAUUUCAGGAGCGCAAUUUCUCUGCAGCUAGCCUUCAUAAUUGGCAGAAAUCUUGCUCGGUGUCCACAUUUUCAGAUAGCAAGGUCAUUGCCUUCAGAAGCUGGUUCAGGAAGCACUAAACAAGUGUUAGGCUAGCGGGG
This 603-nucleotide long non-coding RNA is filed under the name Brachypodium distachyon (stiff brome). RNAcentral's name for it is "long non-coding RNA (BDIS_LNC001718)". Lineage: Eukaryota; Viridiplantae; Streptophyta; Magnoliopsida; Poales; Poaceae. The record is from RNAcentral.